This 1343-nucleotide ribosomal RNA is filed under the name uncultured bacterium. RNAcentral describes it as "bacterial SSU rRNA". It matches the Rfam family "Bacterial small subunit ribosomal RNA", at positions 28 to 1381 of the family's 1533-position model. The record is from RNAcentral.
GACGAACGCUGGCGGCGUGCUUAACACAUGCAAGUCGAACGAUGAAGCUCUAGCUUGCUGGGGUGGAUUAGUGGCGAACGGGUGAGUAACACGUGAGUAACCUGCCCUUUACUUCGGGAUAAGCUUGGGAAACUGGGUCUAAUACCGGAUAUUCUGCGUGAUCGGAUGGUUGUGUAGGAAAGAUUUUUUGGUAAGGGAUGGGCUCGCGGCCUAUCAGUUUGUUGGUGGGGUGAUGGCCUACCAAGACGACGACGGGUAGCCGGCCUGAGAGGGCGACCGGCCACACUGGGACUGAGACACGGCCCAGACUCCUACGGGAGGCAGCAGUGGGGAAUAUUGCACAAUGGCGGGAAACCCUGAUGCAGCGACGCCGCGUGGGGGAUGACGGCCUUCAGGUUGUAAACCUCUUUCAGCACGGAAGAAGCUAAAGUGACGGUACCUGCAGAAUAUGUACCGGCUAACUACGUGCCAUUAGCUCGCGUGAUACAUAUGGUACCAGCGUGGUCGGGAAUUAUUAGGGCGUAAGAGCUCGUAGGUGGUUUGUCGCGUCUGCUGUGGAAACGUGCCGCUUAACGGUGCGCGUGCAGUGGGUACGGGCGGACUAGAGUGCAGUAGGGGAGUCUGGAAUUCCUGGUGUAGCGGUGAAAUGCGCAGAUAUCAGGAGGAACACCGGUGGCGAAGGCGGGACUCUGGGCUGUUACUGACGCUGAGGAGCGAAAGCAUGGGGAGCGAACAGGAUUAGAUACCCUGGUAGUCCAUGCCGUAAACGUUGGGCACUAGGUGUGGGGUCCAUUCCACGGAUUCUGCGCCGUAGCUAACGCAUUAAGUGCCCCGCCUGGGGAGUACGGCCGCAAGGCUAAAACUCAAAGGAAUUGACGGGGGCCCGCACAAGCGGCGGAGCAUGCGGAUUAAUUCGAUGCAACGCGAAGAACCUUACCAAGGCUUGACAUGCACUAGACCAUCGCAGAGAUGUGGUUUUCUUUUUGACUGGUGUACAGGUGGUGCAUGGUUGUCGUCAGCUCGUGUCGUGAGAUGUUGGGUUAAGUCCCGCAACGAGCGCAACCCUCGUUCUAUGUUGCCAGCACGUGAUGGUGGGAACUCAUGGGAGACUGCCGGGGUCAACUCGGAGGAAGGUGGGGAUGACGUCAAAUCAUCAUGCCCUUUAUGUCUUGGGCUUCACGCAUGCUACAAUGGCCGGUACAGAGGGUGGCGAUACCGUGAGGUGGAGCGAAUCUCUUAAAGCCGGUCUCAGUUCGGAUCGUAGUCUGCAACUCGACUACGUGAAGUCGGAGUCGCUAGUAAUCGCAGAUCAGCAAUGCUGCGGUGAAUACGUUCCCGGGCCU